Long non-coding RNA from Peromyscus eremicus (cactus mouse), 1620 nucleotides. RefSeq lists it as uncharacterized. The record is from RefSeq and is a predicted model, not a curated record. NCBI's taxonomy places the organism in Eukaryota, Metazoa, Chordata, Mammalia, Rodentia, Cricetidae. The transcript is spliced from 2 exons.
UUGUAGGACGGGACCUCUUUGGCAUCGAUAGCUUGUUGAAUGAUGUUUCUUAUCCGGGGCUCGUCUGUGUAUUGCACACAAAGCACGGACUCCAUGAUCUGAUCCAUGUCGCCCUUGAAGUCCAGGUAGGCCUGCUUAACAUCGGCUAGCUCUUCUUCAGAGCCUUUGUAUGUGUUUUCAAAAGCCUGAAUGUCCUCUAGCGAUAUCUAAUAACAAAGAAGAUGGCUUUAACUUCGAGAAUUUUACUUGUGGACUGGACGACGGGAAUUAGUCAAAGCCACUAAAGAAAGCCCUUUUACCUUUUUAAAAAGUAACCUCCAAUACGCAUCCCAGUCCCGGUCUUGGUUGAGGCCAGCGGUGUCCUCGUCCACUGUGCCCUGCUCAUCGUACACUGCUCUCUGCUCCUUGUCACUCAGAACCGCAUAGACUCUCCCCAAGAUCUGCAGGCAAAGAGCAUCCAAAAGUCACCCCGAACCUCCCGCUGACACCGUGGGGCUAGAAAUGCUUAAAAAUGCCAGGCCGGGGAUCCGCAGUGCGCUGCCCCGGGGUGGGGUCGCCGCAAGAGCCGGAGAAGUCCGGGUGGCCGCCCGAACACCGGCCCACAUACCUGGAAGCGGCGGGUGGCAUCCUCUUUCUGGUCCGGGUCUACGCGGUCCGGGUGCACUUGCAGGGACACCUUGUGGUAACCGCGCCGGACCUCGCCGUCGGAAGCCUCGCGCCGCACGCCCAGCACCCGGUAGAGGUCGGCGGUGCCGAACACCUGCUCGCACAGCUCCAGCAGCCCCAUGUCCGGGAAGAGGCUGCUCCGCUAACGCCGAGAACCUGAGCCCGUCAGCCGCUCCGCCUGUCAGCCGCUUUUUCCCGCCCAAACAGCCUUGGGCGCCUGCGUCACAGGGGGCGCAAGGGGGCGGGGCCGGCCGCGCUUUCCGGCAGCCGCAAAACGGACUCGCUCUCGCCGGCGAAGUAAAAUACGGCGCUCAACCUGCGGACUGCGGCGUCUCCUGGAGUGGAGCCGCGGCUCGCCACGCCCGCACUCCUUCCUACCCCGAAAUCUGCCCCCCCACCUCACCCCCAGGUUUCUUGCACAGAAGCUCACUCAAUGACACAUGAAAGUAUUUAACAGUGUCCCGAUAAAAAGCGGUUACUCGGGCUGGCGAGGAUGCUCAGCCACACCUGGCGACCUCCAGGACGCAUCAAGUUGUCUUCUGACCUCCACACGACACAUCACAGAAAAUAAGUAAAUGUAAUACAAGUGGUCAGAAAUCAACGCCAACUGUCAGUCCCUGUCUAUCGACUCUCAAAGUCCCCUCAUGCCAAGUGAAGGAAAACCAGCAGCCCCCUUGGAGAGCCUCAACUUCGGAACGUGCAUUAGCUAGCAAAUGGUUUCAGAACCCAGGUAAGACAAGCCAGAGCGUUAGCAGACCUUAGAACCUUCCGGAUACCUUAGCGUUACUCUAAAUUUGAAACCUACAUUAUCCAGCAUGUGAAAAACAAACAUGUGAAGGAGACACCCACCGCUGCACAGUGGGGGCUCCCUCUCAGACCCUGGAUCAGGCACAAACCACACCCAAACACCUGUUUACACAGAGAUCCUUUAUUAAAUGGGGAAGAAAAGUUAAA